GUGAAGCAGCUGUGUGGUUUUCUGGAGAGUCCAGACUGUAGACUGGAGACUCUGGGAUUGUGGAGAUGCAGUUUGUCAGAGAUCAGCUGUGAUUCUCUGGGACCAGCUCUGAAGUCCAACCCCUCCCAUCUGAAACAUCUGGAACUGAGUGAGAACAACCUGAAAGAUUCAGGAGUGAAGCAGCUGUGUGGUUUUCUGGAGAGACCAGACUGUAGACUGGAGACUCUGGGGUUGUGGAGCUGCAGUUUGUCAAAGAUCAGCUGUGAUUCUCUGGUCUCGGCUCUGAAGUCCAACCCCUCCCAUCUGAAACAUCUGAACGUGAGACUCAACAACCUGAAAGAUUCAGGAGUGAAGCAGCUUCUUGAUCUUGUGGAGAGUCCAGGCUAUAAACUGGAGACUCUGUGGUGGAAGAAGUCAUUGUUUUAACCAGGAGGAUGUAUGUUGAGAGGGGAUGAGCUGUGUCCUGAUGAUCCAGAGGGUGAAGCAGACUCUGACUGGACCAUGUUACUGGGAGGUGGAGAGGAGAGCUUCAUCCACAUGGUCUCCAUUUAAGACCAUUAACAGAGCUGCACUUCAACUCUUCACAGAGCUCCAACAAAUCCAGUCCAGUCCCUCAUCAAUGAUUCAGACACAUGUCAACCUGCCAGCAUCAACAGUCCUUCCUCAUGUUGUGGAGACAUUUGUUCCAUGUCUUCUCUCUUCUCACAACCUCGUAACCAUCAGCCAUCAAUAAAUUGACCUUUGUGCACCGAUACAACACGUCCAAGGUAGAAGAUACAACAAACUCCUCUAAUUUAAAUUCCAUGUUGAUGAGUGACAGCUAACAGCCACAGCAGAAACCAAACUGUUAACCUAAGCAGCUUUCCACCAACUCCUCACUUCCAAAUCACUGCAGUUACAGCAACAAACCAUCAAACAAACAACAAUGAGUCCACCAAGGCUACAAAACAACAAAGGUAGCCCCCGGCCCCAGGUCUUCAAAGGACUGGCCUCUAGCCACCAAGCACCCAAAUGAUGCUACGAGCCCGUUGACUGGUUCUUAACAAACUGACCUGACCUGAAAGAAAUACAAUUAUGAACACACCUUGACAACAUCAGUAUGUGAGCAUCAGUAGCAUUAGUAUGUGAACACAUACUCUGCAGAGUUCCAAAAUUUUAGGACUAGGUUCAGGCCUUUGAGGAACCAUCUGAAUAUUCUCAAGUUACAAAUAUAUGUUUCACUAAAAAUAAUAAUAAUAAUAAUAAUAUAUUUUUUUUUAUUAUUAUCAUGUUUUUGUCUUUUAAGCUGCGUUUAUUUCGUUUUUCUGGACCUUUUUUGUUAACAAGAGAUGGAGAAGUCCCUCUCAUAUAACUGUGAAGGAGCGUGUCUGUACACAGGACAUUGAACUUUUAGCUUUGGGAAUGCCUCCUUAUUAUUUACCAAGGGAAUUCACCAAUUUCAUCUUUAUCGGAGUCUACAUCCCUCCUUCAGCUGUCAAGAAAACAGCAUGUGAUGCGAUCCAUGCCACUGUUGCUAGGCAGUCCAAACACCCGGAGGCUCUUGUUAUCAUUUCUGGGGAUUUAAAUCAUAACACCUUGGACACUGUUUUGCCAACUUGUCAUCAGUUUGUAAAUUGUGCAACCUGAUAAAAUAGAAAUCUGGAUCUACUGUAUGCUAAUUCAAAAGAUGCAUACAGAUCCACUGCCCUUAAUGUGGACAAGACCAAGGAGCUGGUCAUUGAUUUUAGGAGGAAGAGCAUCAGUCAGUGGAGCCCAUCACCAUCCAGGGCCUGGAGGUGGAAGUGGACCACUACAAGUACCUGGGAGUCCACAUGAACAACAGAUUGGACUGGAGGGACAACAGUGAUGCUGUGUACAAGAAGGGCCUGAGUAGACUCUACAUUCUCAGGAAUAUCAGGAUCUAUCAGUCUGUUGUUGCGAGUGCCCUGUUCUUUGCAGUGGUUUGUUGGGUGAGUAGUACCAGCAAAAAAGACAUCAGUAGGAUCAACAAACUGAUCCAAAAGGCUGGACAUAUGGCUGGUAGGGAGUUGGAAUCAUUUGUCUCAGUGAGGGACAGGAGGACAUUGGAUAAACUGCUCUCCAUUGUGGAUAAUCCAUCCCAUCCACUACUUCAAACAUUAGAAGGUCAGAGGAGUUCAUUCUCUAGCACAAUGGUUCAGCUCCACUGCCAUAGUGAAUGCUACAGAACUUCCUUUAUUCCCUAUUGUAUCCAGCUGUAUAACAGCUCAUCUUUUUGUGUCAAUUAAGCUACUAUGAUCAAUUAAUUUCCCUUGUGGAUCAUUAAAGUCUAAGUCUAAAAAUUGAACCAGACCUCUGUAUAUUUCUGUAAUGUAUAUUUGCUAUAUAUUAUGCUAUGCUAUAUAUUUGCUCUACGUCAGCAGCCUGUGGAUAUACCAGGUUUCAUCUCUAAAAGGAUUGGUUGAAUUGAGUCAAUGAUGCCCCAUUUGAGUUGUUGGAGCCAAUAGAUGAUACUUUGAUAGAUAGAAAUUUGAUGGAUAUGUCAGGAGUCUGUGGACUGUGCUUUGUUUUGACACGUUGUUUGUGUGAACUGUAUAAAGGUUCACAGCAGUAGAGACAGAAAAGAGUGCGAUGACUGUGUGGAGUUGUAGAACUUUGAUAUUUGGUCAUUCAUUGAGUUGAGUCUUUGUGUGUUUGGAGUAUCAUGUGUCAUUAGAUGUGGACAGUUGUAGUUCCUGACAGUGAACGCUGGAGGACAGUUCAUGCAGUUCAUCACUCCACUACCAGAGAGAGACAAAUCUGCACCAGUGGAGUAUUUUUUACAGUGUAUUUUGUGGUGUUCAAUUUUUUCAAUCUGGUGUUUUUUUACAGUGUAUUCUUUAUUGAUUAUUUGUUUUUGACGAUGUAUCUUCUGAUAAUAAAUUUUAAAUGUGUAAUUUCUUAGCAACUCUGGUAAGCCACAUGAGUUUUUCAGAGGAAACUUUUAGAUCCUUGAAGUCAUUUUAAGAUUAUACAUUUAUUAAUAUUUCUUUUCAUGAGCAUUUUCCGUACGUGAUAAUGUUUAUUCAUUUUUGUCAAUUGUGAAAUAUUUAUAAUUAAAUUCACAAAUUCA
Molecule: long non-coding RNA, 3070 nt
Organism: Mugil cephalus (flathead mullet)
Lineage: Eukaryota; Metazoa; Chordata; Actinopteri; Mugiliformes; Mugilidae
Exons: 4
Source: RefSeq, a predicted model, not a curated record